UAGCUGCGUUAACUGGUGUGAAUUGCAGGACACGCCGAGCACUAAGUUUUCGAACGCAUAUUGCGGCCACGGGCCUUCCCGUGGCCUCGUCUGUCUGAGGGUCGGUUUAUAACCACUCAUUGUAAGAGUUUGUUCGAGACGGCCAAGUAGUUGCUGGUCUCGUCAGACUUUGGUCGACGCGGUGUUUUCUGCUGAGAGUUGCAGCGGCACCGGUCCGGCGCUUCGUGUCGGACCGCACUACCGUUUAUCAUGCAACUGUUAGGCGAAUCGCUGCGUGUACAAAUUCGAUUUCGAUCGAACAUUUCUUGUCGACCUCAGAUCAGGCGAGAUUACCCGCUGAGUUUAA
This 346-nucleotide unclassified non-coding RNA is filed under the name uncultured fungus. Its description in RNAcentral is "sequence contains ITS1". The stretch from base 1 to 104 matches the Rfam family "5.8S ribosomal RNA", at positions 50 to 154 of the family's 154-position model. Lineage: Eukaryota; Fungi. The record is from RNAcentral.